Long non-coding RNA from Arachis duranensis, 252 nucleotides. RefSeq lists it as uncharacterized. The record is from RefSeq and is a predicted model, not a curated record. Lineage: Eukaryota; Viridiplantae; Streptophyta; Magnoliopsida; Fabales; Fabaceae. The transcript has 2 exons.
ACACAAAAAACCAUGCCAAAAAUCACAAGGUAGUGGAAUUAGCGCAUUCGGACAACAUUUCCCUAUUUCCCCAAUUCCUCUUCGUAUUCGUCUUCGUGCUGCUCAGUGUUCUCCCACCACCACUCCCUCCCUCUACUCAUUCGAAUCUCUCUCUAUUCACCCAGUCUCGACAAAUGGAAGGAAGAAGGCCUCAGUUUGCUUCUGUUUUCUCUUGCCAUUUAGGUUCCCUGAUCCAUCUUCAUUAAACACAAU